Molecule: ribosomal RNA, 465 nt
Filed under: Vreelandella stevensii
Lineage: Bacteria; Pseudomonadati; Pseudomonadota; Gammaproteobacteria; Oceanospirillales; Halomonadaceae
Description: partial 16S ribosomal RNA
Rfam family: Bacterial small subunit ribosomal RNA
Source: RNAcentral
CCUACGUGGUGCUGCAGUGGGGAAUAUUGGACAAUGGGCGAAAGCCUGAUCCAGCCAUGCCGCGUGUGUGAAGAAGGCCUUCGGGUUGUAAAGCACUUUCAGUGGGGAAGAAAGCCUUGGGGCUAAUACCCUCGAGGAAGGACAUCACCCACAGAAGAAGCACCGUCUAACUCCGUGCCAGCAGCCGCGGUAAUACGGAGGGUGCGAGCGUUAAUCGGAAUUACUGGGCGUAAAGCGCGCGUAGGCGGUCUGAUAAGCCGGUUGUGAAAGCCCCGGGCUCAACCUGGGAACGGCAUCCGGAACUGUCAGGCUAGAGUGCAGGAGAGGAAGGUAGAAUUCCCGGUGUAGCGGUGAAAUGCGUAGAGAUCGGGAGGAAUACCAGUGGCGAAGGCGGCCUUCUGGACUGACACUGACGCUGAGGUGCGAAAGCGUGGGUAGCAAACAGGAUUAGAUACCCUGGUAGUC